Molecule: long non-coding RNA, 998 nt
Organism: Mytilus californianus (California mussel)
Lineage: Eukaryota; Metazoa; Mollusca; Bivalvia; Mytilida; Mytilidae
Exons: 4
Source: RefSeq, a predicted model, not a curated record
AUGUGCAAAUUAAUAAUAUCAUAAAAAUAUAUUUUGUUGUAACCUAUAUAUUCAAUAUCUUACAAAUAAACACUGUCUAAAGUUAGCUCUGGGUCGUUUCCAGAUAUUUCCAGGUAUCUAUUAUAUAUAUUGUUUUAGAAUAUACGAACCUUACACACUAUUGACGCUCACCUAAGUUCUGUUUGAUGACUUAUUUAGAAUCUUGUUCUUAUAUUUGGCAAAAUUGAGACCAACCUAGUUUAACUGUGGUAACAAAUCAAGGAGAAAAUCAAUAGCGCUUAUAAGAUAUGUACUAGCGACAACGAACGCAUUGUCAGGUGCCAUUUCGACCACUGUGAAUUACAAGAAAUAGCAUGGGUUCAUGAAGGGUGAUGUUUAUAAUAAUGACUGACUAUGAUGAAAUGGUUGAUACAAAAGUUAAUAGGAUUUUUUCACUCAUAUAUUUCUGUGGAGAAAUAAAGUGAAUUGAUAAAAUCAAUUGAUAGGCUGGAAAAUCGUUCCUAGCGUACGAAGAUUAAAUUCAAUUAUUGAUCGAGGGAUUUACUUUCACCACAUAUUAGAUUUUUUGAUUCUGUACUUCAGCAGCAUCACUGAAAGUGUUGUUAAGGUUGCAUGUAAUGCAACUAAACUGUUGCAUAAGUUAUGGAAUAUUAAAACUGUUCGAAGUGAAAGAAGUCCUGUAUGGAAGCUAUACCUUUACUUGCUCAAUAUCACAAGAUGACAAAUUUGAAAAGAAGAGAAUAUCAAGAAUAUGACUUGAGUCCUGAAUAUCAUCAUUUACCUUUCUCUUCAGUACUUUUUACGGAUAUGAUGUACACCAAAAAUCAAAAGAGAUUUAUGUAAUGGAUUUCAACUGGUUGCGAAUGAAUAUUGGUUGUAGAACCACUGUGAUGCAGAGACAAUAAAAGAUAAGCGGACGAUACCAAAGAGAUAUUCAAACUCAUAAGUCGAAUACAAACUGACAAUGCCUUGGCAAAAAAAAAAGAAAAAAAGAAAAA